RNAcentral lists this ribosomal RNA (253 nucleotides) under uncultured bacterium. RNAcentral's name for it is "partial 16S ribosomal RNA". It matches the Rfam family "Bacterial small subunit ribosomal RNA", at positions 524 to 776 of the family's 1533-position model. The record is from RNAcentral.
GACAGAGGGUGCAAACGUUGUUCGGAAUUACUGGGCGUAAAGCGCGUGUAGGCGGCUAUGCAAGUCGGGCGUGAAAUCCCACGGCUCAACCGUGGAAGUGCACUCGAAACUGCGUAGCUAGAGUCUCGGAGAGGAAGGUGGAAUACUUGGUGUAGAGGUGAAAUUCGUAGAUAUCAAGUGGAACACCGGUGGCGAAGGCGGGUCUCUGGGCCGAUACUGACGCUGAGGAGCGAAAGCGUGGGGAGCGAACAGG